AGACAGCAGUAGCCGCGGGAAUACAGAGGGUGCGAGCGUUAAUCGGAUUUACUGGGCGUAAAGCGUGCGUAGGCGGCUUUUUAAGUCGGAUGUGAAAUCCCUGAGCUUAACUUAGGAAUUGCAUUCGAUACUGGGAAGCUAGAGUAUGGGAGAGGAUGGUAGAAUUCCAGGUGUAGCGGUGAAAUGCGUAGAGAUCUGGAGGAAUACCGAUGGCGAAGGCAGCCAUCUGGCCUAAUACUGACGCUGAGGUACGAAAGCAUGGGGAGCAAACAGGAUUAGAUACCCCAGUAGUCCCUGUCUCUUAUAU
Molecule: ribosomal RNA, 307 nt
Filed under: uncultured bacterium
Lineage: Bacteria
Description: partial 16S ribosomal RNA
Rfam family: Bacterial small subunit ribosomal RNA
Source: RNAcentral